GACGAACGCUGGCGGCGUGCCUAAUACAUGCAAGUAGAACGCUGAAGCUUGGUGCUUGCACCGAGCGGAUGAGUUGCGAACGGGUGAGUAACGCGUAGGUAACCUGCCUGGUAGCGGGGGAUAACUAUUGGAAACGAUAGCUAAUACCGCAUAACAGUAGAUAUCGCAUGAUAGCUACUUGAAAGGUGCAAAUGCACCACUACCAGAUGGACCUGCGUUGUAUUAGCUAGUUGGUGAGGUAACGGCUCACCAAGGCAACGAUACAUAGCCGACCUGAGAGGGUGAUCGGCCACACUGGGAGUGAGACACGGCCCAGACUGCUACGGGAGGCAGCAGUAGGGAAUCUUCGGCAAUGGACGGAAGUCUGACCGAGAAACGCCGCGUGAGUGAAGAAGGUUUUCGGAUCGUAAAGCUCUGUUGUAAGAGAAGAACGAGUGUGAGAGUGGAAAGUUCACACUGUGACGGUAUCUUACCAGAAAGGGACGGCUAACUACGUG
RNAcentral lists this ribosomal RNA (497 nucleotides) under uncultured bacterium. Its description in RNAcentral is "partial 16S ribosomal RNA". It matches the Rfam family "Bacterial small subunit ribosomal RNA", at positions 28 to 507 of the family's 1533-position model. The record is from RNAcentral.